This 578-nucleotide small RNA is filed under the name Pan troglodytes (chimpanzee). Its description in RNAcentral is "retained intron". The record is from RNAcentral. Lineage: Eukaryota; Metazoa; Chordata; Mammalia; Primates; Hominidae.
GACUCCGCCCAAUCUCCCGCGUACCCUAGACGUGAACGAGUGCCUGGAGGGCGAUUUCUGCUUCCCUCACGGCGAGUGCCUCAACACUGACGGCUCCUUUGCCUGUACUUGUGCCCCUGGCUACCGACCCGGACCCCGCGGAGCCUCUUGCCUCGACGUUGACGAGUGCAGCGAGGAGGACCUUUGCCAGAGCGGCAUCUGUACCAACACCGACGGCUCCUUCGAGUGCAUCUGUCCUCCGGGACACCGCGCCGGCCCGGACCUCGCCUCCUGCCUCGACGUGGACGAAUGUCGCGAGCGAGGCCCAGCCCUGUGCGGGUCGCAGCGCUGUGAGAACUCUCCCGGCUCCUACCGCUGUGUCCGGGACUGCGAUCCUGGGUACCACGCGGGCCCCGAGGGCACCUGUGACGAUGUGGACGAAUGCCGGAACCGGUCCUUCUGCGGUGCCCACGCCGUGUGCCAGAACCUGCCCGGCUCCUUCCAGUGCCUCUGUGACCAGGGUUACGAGGGGGCACGGGAUGGGCGUCACUGCGUGGAUGUGAACGAGUGUGAAACACUACAGGGUGUAUGUGGAGCUG